GCAGCGCGGCCCCUUUAAACCGCCCGCCCGCUCGCGCCCCCGCGCCUCGCGCCCGCGCGCCUCCAUUUUCCCGGCCGCCCGCGCCGAGCCCCGCGCCCAGCCCGGCCCAGCCUGCGGCCUCCGCCGCCGCCGCCGGACAUGGCCGCCAACAUGUACAGGGUCGGAGACUACGUCUACUUCGAGAACUCCUCCAGCAACCCGUACCUGAUCCGGAGGAUCGAGGAGCUCAACAAGACGGCCAACGGGAACGUGGAGGCCAAGGUGGUGUGCUUCUACCGAAGGCGGGACAUCUCCAGCACGCUCAUCGCCCUGGCCGACAAGCACGCCACCCUGUCGGUCUGCUAUAAAACCGGAUCGGGGGCCGACAACGGCGAGGAAGGUGAAACAGAGGAGGAAAUGGAGAACCCAGAAAUGGCAGACCUGCCCGAGAAGCUCAAGCACCAGCUGAGGCAUCGAGAGCUCUUCCUCUCCAGACAGCUGGAGUCACUGCCCGCCACCCACAUCAGAGGGAAGUGCAGCGUCACUUUGCUCAACGAGACUGAGUCCCUCAAGUCCUACCUGGAGCGGGAGGACUUCUUCUUCUACUCACUCGUCUAUGACCCCCAGCAGAAGACCCUCCUGGCUGACAAGGGGGAGAUCCGUGUCGGGAACCGGUACCAGGCAGACAUCACCGACCUGCUGAAAGAAGGCGAGGAGGACGGCCGAGACCAGGCCAAGCUGGAGACCAAGGUGUGGGAGGUUCACAACCCGCUGGUGGACAAGCAGAUCGACCAGUUCCUGGUGGUGGCCCGCUCCGUGGGCACCUUUGCACGCGCCCUGGACUGCAGCAGCUCUGUCCGACAGCCCAGCCUGCACAUGAGCGCCGCGGCCGCCUCUCGGGACAUCACCCUGUUCCACGCCAUGGACACGCUGCACAGGAGUGUGUACGAUGUCGCCAAGGCCAUCUCGGCCCUGGUGCCGCAGGGCGGGCCCGUCCUCUGCAGGGACGAGAUGGAAGAGUGGUCGGCCUCGGAGGCCAGCCUGUUCGAGGAGGCUCUGGAGAAGUACGGGAAGGAUUUCACUGACAUUCAGCAAGACUUCCUCCCCUGGAAGUCGCUCACCAGCAUCAUCGAGUACUACUACAUGUGGAAGACCACCGACAGAUACGUGCAGCAGAAACGCUUGAAAGCAGCGGAAGCGGAGAGCAAGUUAAAGCAAGUUUACAUCCCCAACUAUAACAAGCCAAACCCGAACCAGAUCAGCGUCAAUAACGUGAAGGCAGGCGUGGUGAACGGUGCCGGGGCGCCAGGCCAGAGCCCUGGGGCCGGCCGGGCCUGCGAGAGCUGUUACACCACCCAGUCUUACCAGUGGUAUUCUUGGGGUCCCCCUAACAUGCAGUGUCGCCUCUGCGCAUCUUGUUGGACAUAUUGGAAGAAAUAUGGUGGCUUGAAAAUGCCAACCCGGUUAGAUGGAGAGAGGCCAGGACCCAACCGCAGUAACAUGAGCCCCCACGGCAUCCCAGCCCGGAGCAGCGGGAGCCCCAAGUUUGCCAUGAAGACGAGACAGGCCUUCUACCUGCACACCACCAAGCUCACGCGGAUCGCCCGGCGCCUGUGCCGUGAGAUCCUGCGCCCGUGGCAUGCCGCCCGGCACCCCUACAUGCCCAUCAACAGUGCGGCCAUCAAGGCUGAGUGCACGGCACGGCUGCCCGGAGCCUCUCAGAGCCCGCUGGUGCUGAAGCAGGCCGCGCGGAAGCCCCUGGAGGCCGUCCUGCGGCACCUCGAGACCCACCCCCGCCCCCCGAAGCCCGACCCCGUGAAGAGCGUGUCCGGCGUGCUCGGCGGCCUGACCCCGGCCAAGUCGGCCCCCGUCAUCAACAACGGCUCCCCUACCAUCCUGGGCAAGAGGAGCUACGAGCAGCACAACGGGGUGGACGGCAACGUGAAGAAGCGCCUCUUGAUGCCCAGUAGGGGUAAGGCCCGGCCCUCCGCGCGUGCCUGUGUGUGCUGUGCUCACGCGUGCGCGGCGGACGGCUCAGGGCACGUCCAAGGGCAGUCCACGCGGGCUGGGCCGCACCCUGCUGCCCCGGCUCCUCCCGAUUCACCUGUCGCUCGGCAAAGAUCGGAGCGCUGCCCCUCGGGCCCCCAGCUCGCCCAACGCUACCUCCUGCCCCGGGGCCUCCGGCUCGCGGGCCACCCCUCCUUCCGGGCCCAGCGCCGGUCAGUGGACUGUCCUCGCUCCGGCGGCCCUGGUGCCCCCGCCGCCCGCCUGUACUGUCUGCUGUCGCGCUGCGACUGUCCGCAUGCCGCCAGCCUCAGCUUGCGUGGCCGCCUGCGCUGUGCUUGCAACCCUGCCUGUGCCCCUGCCCCAGUGGGGGGCUUUGGGACCCUGGUCUCCUCGGGGGGCAGGUGGGACAGAGCUGUGGUGUGGCCGGCAUGGCUGGGUGGGGGUCGGCGAGACCCGGGUGGACGCUCAGGUCAGGGCCCCGCAUGGAGGCGCGCCCAGGGCUGAGGGUCCCAGAGCUGAGGCAGCAGUAGUGCCCUCUCCUGAGCGGGGUGGGAUGCUCGUGGGGUGUGUGCUAGGGCAGCCCUCUGUGGGACCCUCCUGCCGUCGGCGCCUCUGGAAUGUGGCUCCUCUCACCUGCCCAGGGCCCGGCUUCUGCCCCCUCAGCUGGCGGUGGGGUGUUCGUGGGCUGGGGCUGCUCUAGGAGGGUGUAGCCACUGUGGCAGUGUGGGAUGUGUCAGACCUGGGUGUCCCAGGGCCCCCCAGGGAUUUGCCUGCGGCCGGACCCGUGUGUGUGUGUGGGGGGGAGAUGAACAGGGAAGCAGCUGAAGGGAAGAACGUGGCAAGUGUACUCGGAGCCCCUCCUGCCAGCCUCUCGUGACGGCAAGGUCAGGUCGGGUGUGGGUACCCCAGCUCCAUGGGGCAGCAAGCAUGGACACGUCCAGAGCCCUCCCCAAGCUCAGGACUGGAGGGCUACUGGCCCCAGGGGUCUGGCCGAGGCUUGGCUGUCCUGGGAUCUGUGGGAGGUGGGCCGGACGUGGGGACCCGGGAGGUAGCAGCGGCCAGCGGCCACCCGGCCCAGCCCUGUCCCCUGGAUGCUCCCUCUCUCCGCUGUGUCUGAGAGCCCCAGCAGGCACACCCUGAGGGUCAGUCGGUGGUACUGGUGCCGGGUCCUGCCAUCUCACCCCAUCUGGACACAGGCUCUCGCCUGCACCAGGCCCCGCCCUGGCUGCCUCACCCACGACCCUGUGGUGGGGCUCUGAGGGCGGGGCGCUAGCCUGCUGAUCUCCCUCCUCCCCCCCAUAGCCUUCGGGCGGGGAGGCUGUCGCAGCCCCUGGUCCCAGCAGCGGGGCUGGCUGCUCAUCUGCCGCUGCGACAGGUGCCCUGGGGAUGGUCUGAUUACACCCACAGAAGGGGGUGAGGGGCCGCGUGCUCAUCAGCAGGCAGCUUUGGGCUUUGUGGUCCGACCUGUGAAAAAGCCGUUAGUUAGCGGGAGGGAUGAAAUCUUUUUGCUUCUGUCGGGUUUCCCGAGAUCGAUGUGCUUCCGUACCUAUCUACUUCAGCCCCAGCGUGCAGAUCCCGGGUGGGGAUAUCGGGGGCUGCACAUGAGCCCUGGGAGGAGGCCACAGCUGGCCUCCUGGGGUGCUGUGGGGCAGCGGGGGCAGCAGCGGGUGGCGGGAGCUGGCUCUGGGCGAGGCCCGGCCUCUGGCACUGGUGGGGCCUUAAUGGGCUAACAGGCCCACGGACGCGCCUGCGGCUGCAUCCACCCUCUGGGCCUGCCGCAUGCACGCGCUCCCCUGUAACGCUGACCGUGUGCUUUCUUUCCUCCGCCACCCAUCCCUCUGGUAGGCACCUACCUGGGUAAGUAGCACAGGGCCUCGAGGGCUGCAGGCCGGGUGCCACGGCCCCUCCCUCUGCCCUGCCGGGGUUGGGGUACUCCAAGUUAGGAGGUGGUUUGCAAAGGGGAGGGCUGGACAGCUCUUCUCUGCUCGUCAAGAGACGAACCGUGGCCAAGGGGCCCUUUUGGGAGGAGCUGGUCCUGGGAGGCCUCUGGCAGGACGCAAGUGGUGGAGACCAGCCCUCAUGGGCACGUGCUCCCACGGCCGCCCACAGACUCGCCCUACGUGUGUCAGGAGCCACAGGUCUCGGGCGCCCGUUGGGAGUGUGGACUGAGACCUGGGCGGCGUCUUUCCUCUUCAGAGGGGCAGCUGCUUGUGGCUGCAGACCCCCGGCCGUGGGGUGGAAGCACUGGAGCCCUGGCCAGAGCCUGGCCUCCUGGCCACUCGAGGAGCUUCUGUCAGCUCCUCCCUGGGUGGCUGGCCCCAGGGUUUGCGAUGGGGGCUGGGGGCCCCUCGGGAGGAAGCCCAGGGUAGCCCGGCCUCCUGGGGUCUGAGUGGUGCUGCCCGGGGAGUGGCCGCCUUGCAGAGGGGCUGCCCGGCGCCACUGUAUUUAUACCCACCGUAGACCAGGCCCCGGUUGUCGCGGCCCAGUCAAGGGAGCGAGCUCAGAUCCGAGACUCCGGGCCCCCACCCAGAGCGCUGCCUGGGUGUGGGCUGUGGCUCUGGGGGGACCUGGCCCCAGGUCUGCUUCUCGGCUGCGGGUCCUCAGCGAGCGUGUUGAGUGCAGGACGUGCCUUGCCUCGGACCUCACAGCUUGUUCUCCUCCCUCUUGUCAGGUUUGGCGAAUCACGGACAGACCAGGCACAUGGGACCAAGCCGGAACCUGCUGCUCAACGGGAAGGCGUACCCCACCAAGGUGCGGCUGAUCCGGGGGGGCUCCCUGCCCCCUGUCAAGCGGCGGCGGAUGAACUGGAUCGAUGCCCCCG
Orcinus orca (killer whale) is the source of this 4807-nucleotide RNA transcript. It is a transcript of the gene named metastasis associated 1, with no coding region annotated. The record is from RefSeq and is a predicted model, not a curated record. The transcript is spliced from 19 exons. NCBI's taxonomy places the organism in Eukaryota, Metazoa, Chordata, Mammalia, Artiodactyla, Delphinidae.